This 300-nucleotide unclassified non-coding RNA is filed under the name uncultured Helicobasidiaceae. RNAcentral describes it as "sequence contains 5.8S rRNA gene, ITS2". The stretch from base 1 to 71 matches the Rfam family "5.8S ribosomal RNA", at positions 84 to 154 of the family's 154-position model. Lineage: Eukaryota; Fungi; Basidiomycota; Pucciniomycetes; Helicobasidiales; Helicobasidiaceae. The record is from RNAcentral.
GUGAGUCAUCGAAUCUUUGAACGCACCUUGCGCCUUUUGGUAUUCCGAAAGGCACACCUGUUUGAGCGUCAUGAAUACCUCAAUCUCCAUCUUUUCUUCGGAUUGAUGGGUGACUUGGAUGUUGAGCCCUGCUGGUAUGCUAUAUCAGCUGGCUUUAAACUUAUUAGCCGGCUCUGUACUGGAUCGGUUUGACUCGACGUGAUAAUAUUAUCGUUGAGGAUGCAUGUCUCAUGCAGCCGGAAAGUAUCAAAGCAGCUUCUAGCUUGCCUUUAGUGCACUUUUACAUUUUAGACCUCAGAU